UCCAGUCUCGCCCUCUCUGAGGUGGGAAAGACCAGGGUUUGAGACUCUGAAUGAGGUCCAAAUGAACCAUUAACAUAACAUCUGCCCAAAGAAAGUUCCAUUCAAAGGAUAAGGAAGACCAGGCGCAUUAGUCUUCUACCCAGAAUCAAGGGAUGAGAGAAGGAGGACCAGUCCCUCAACCCGCUCUAGUGUCAGCAAGCUGCUGUUGCUCUUGAGAAGUCCUUUGUUACAAAAUCCCGUGGCACGGCUUUCUACAGAGAAUUGCCCCCUUUGAAGAUUUGCCCCAGUGGUCGUCGUGUUAGCUGCUUCGGUGAAGAAAUAAAAAGGCAUGCCUUAGAUCAACUAUUACUUAUGAAAGGACACCUAGACAUGAAUUCGAAAGGUUUACAUUGUCAAACCAGGGAAGGAGGCAGAGAAGGAAGAUUGUAUCCCUACCUCGGAACGCAGGGGCUAAGGAGCAAGCCAGAAACGUAAAGCCCGUGGCAUUUCCUAUGAGAGUCUUCUCUGGAAGCCAAAGCAAUCACAGAAUGACAGGCCAAAGCUGGUGCUGCACACCUCAAGCUCAACGUACAUGGAAACCAAAGAGUGGCUCUUUUCAAUUAGAAACAUAAAAUGACUGAUGUUAACCGACAAAAUUUGAGGUGGGCAUUUAUGUUUGGUCUCUCUGGUUCAACAGAGUUCUGACACCAAGCUUAGUGUGGUACGUGGAGCAAAGAAGUUGCUGAAUACUUUCUAUGAGCCACUGGAACACUCACCCCACCCCACAACGAUUCUGCUAGCUCGAGCAAUCUAUUGUUCUACGCAGAAAACAAGAAGUGAAAAUGGGUAACUUUGGAGUCCACGUGUUGAACAUUCCCUGGGAAGAAACCUGAGUCUCUGAAUGACUCCAUGGAGCAGAGCCCUUUCACACCACCACACACCUACUCUCUGCUCACCUGUUGGUCUGUGAAAUGCAGCAGCAAAAGACCAUAAUGUGUUCAGACACCAAGGAUUUGGGGUUGUUUGUUACAGAAGAUAUCCUAUCCUGAUUUAUUCAAACAUUUAGCCCACAGUAAUGUUUAUUAAAUAGACCUGUGCAAGAAUGGACUGGUCACUUUGGCAACCUGGAAACUGUACUUCAUGCAAGCACCCCAGGAAUGUUUGUUACUCCGAAUGUGUAUCCAUAAUAUUGUCAGUAAGCCACAUUUGCCAAGAAACCCAGGAAAACACUGAAGUUUGCCAGCCUGGAAGAUAAUUCACAUCCCCAGAGUAAAAAAUGCUACUUAUCCGUUCUCAUCUCCAGGCCGCAUGCUAUAUCUGUAUUCACGUUUCAAUAUUGAUUCAAAAUAUCACUUACCUCUUUCAUUGUGGUUUCCUCUCCAAGAUUUAUUUCCUCAGAAAGGUUGGUUCCUCACCAUAGUUACAUAUUUCUGAGAUUAAGUCUUUCUACCUUGCCCUGCUAUUUUUUUCCUUGUUAUUUUACCACAUUAUGUCUUAUCAGUAAGAAUUGACAGCCCCCUGGGAAAGAACUGGUUUGAAAUGAUGUGCACAGUAAUCAGGUGCUUGUCUAAGGAUAUUUCCGUGCAAUGGGAGUUCCUUCAGUGUGGUCUGCAGCCCAGGAUCAUCAGCAUUACCCAGAGAAAUAAAGCAAUGCAGACUCUCAGGACCUAUCCCAGACCUACAGAAUCUAAAUCUUCAUCUUAACUAGAUCUCAAUGUGGUUCCUAUUGUUGAAAGAACUUUCUAGGCCCAAGAUGGAGCCACUCCUGCCCAGGGUGCCACGUCAGCAAACUGAAACUUAGAUAACUUUAGUAACCCCCUCAAUGUCAACUUAACUACAAACGCAGUACAUUCCAGUCAGCCAAUCCCCAAAAGCCAGGCCACCUCUGGGCUCUGUACUCACUUCCUCACUCCUUCUCACCCCAAGGCUGACUAUGUGUCCUAGCCAAUCAGAUAUUUUCUAUUUUCCUCUUCCUUGUUGGUUAUUCUUUAUCCUUUAAAAGCUUCCUGCCUCCAACCCAUCUUUCAGUUCUCCAAAUGGAGACUAUCUGCCUCACAAAAUGUUAAAUCAAGUUUG
Molecule: long non-coding RNA, 2055 nt
Organism: Equus caballus (horse)
Lineage: Eukaryota; Metazoa; Chordata; Mammalia; Perissodactyla; Equidae
Source: RefSeq, a predicted model, not a curated record